UCUGCAGCAAUUGCUUAUGCCUUUUUGUCUCAGAAAGCUGACAGUCCUAUCAAAAUUUCAGUUUGGCCAUUAAUCUUUGCCUUUGGUGUAUUGUGUUCUAGAUUUCCAAGGAAUCCUCGUCCAAAAUCAGCCCUUCGGCGCCUAAAAACUGCUCAUCCUUCCCGGCGAGGACUGCAGCCUCCUGAUUACCCAUCGCCGUCUUAUGAAACUCCAUUACUCUUCCAAGAUAAGAAUUAUUACAGGGACUUGUCUGAGAUUGCUGAGCAGGCCAAAAGGCGUGCAGAAGUAGCAAGGUAAUGAUGCAACCGAAGCUUAUUAGAGAUAUUUGGUCUAUCAAUAGUUUGUUUUGCCUGUUAAUUGCUAUGCUCUUUUUGGCUACCAGGUUAAGGGAGCUUCAUGAAGGAACGGAAGC
This 412-nucleotide unclassified non-coding RNA is filed under the name Hevea brasiliensis (rubber tree). The record is from RNAcentral. Lineage: Eukaryota; Viridiplantae; Streptophyta; Magnoliopsida; Malpighiales; Euphorbiaceae.